This is a non-coding RNA of Arachis ipaensis, 152 nucleotides long. The record is from RefSeq and is a predicted model, not a curated record. Lineage: Eukaryota; Viridiplantae; Streptophyta; Magnoliopsida; Fabales; Fabaceae.
GGACCCCCUUAAUGAUUGCUCGUUCAUGGAAUAGAAACUGGCUUGAGGACAUCUUAAAAGAACCUCCAUCAGAGAACUUAGAAGUUCUUCCUUCACCGUAUCUCUCUCUUCCACUUAUGAGCAUUGUCAAAAUUGCUAGAGAAUGUGGGUGG